RNAcentral lists this ribosomal RNA (644 nucleotides) under uncultured bacterium. RNAcentral describes it as "bacterial SSU rRNA". It matches the Rfam family "Bacterial small subunit ribosomal RNA", at positions 202 to 842 of the family's 1533-position model. The record is from RNAcentral.
UAAAGGAAGCGAUUCCGGCUACGGAUGGUCAUGCGUCGCAUUAGCUAGUUGGCGGGGUAACGGCCCACCAAGGCGACGAUGCGUAGGGGUUCUGAGAGGAAGGUCCCCCACACUGGUACUGAGACACGGACCAGACUCCUACGGGAGGCAGCAGUGAGGAAUAUUGGUCAAUGGCCGCAGGGCUGAACCAGCCAAGUCGCGUGAGGGAUGACGGUCCUAUGGAUUGUAAACCUCUUUUGUCAGGGAGCAAAGGGCGCCACGUGUGGCGCUUUGCGAGUACCUGAAGAAAAAGCAUCGGCUAACUCCGUGCCAGCAGCCGCGGUAAUACGGAGGAUGCGAGCGUUAUCCGGAUUUAUUAGGUUUAAAGGGUGCGCAGGCGGAAUGUCAAGUCAGCGGUAAAAUUUCGGGGCUCAACCCCGUCGUGCCGUUGAAACUGGCGUUCUUGAGUGAGCGAGAAGUAUGCGGAAUGCGUGGUGUAGCGGUGAAAUGCAUAGAUAUCACGCAGAACUCCGAUUGCGAAGGCAGCAUACCGGCGCUCAACUGACGCUCAUGCACGAAAGCGUGGGUAUCGAACAGGAUUAGAUACCCUGGUAGUCCACGCAGUAAACGAUGAAUACUAACUGUCCGGGCAGAAUGAUGCCUGG